UACGGAGGGUGCAAGCGUUAUCCGGAAUCACUGGGCGUAAAGGGCGCGCAGGCUGUAGAUCAAGUCAGCUGUGAAAUGUCUGGGCUUAACCCGGGCAUGCGGUUGAAACUGAUGUACUGGAGUGCUGUAGAGGCAAGUGGAAUUCCCAGUGUAGCGGUGAAAUGCGUAGAUAUUGGGAAGAACACCGGUGGCGAAGGCGACUUGCUGGGCAGCAACUGACGCUGAGGCGCGAAAGCCAGGGGAGCAAACGGGA
Molecule: ribosomal RNA, 253 nt
Filed under: uncultured prokaryote
Description: partial 16S ribosomal RNA
Rfam family: Bacterial small subunit ribosomal RNA
Source: RNAcentral